This 583-nucleotide ribosomal RNA is filed under the name uncultured beta proteobacterium. RNAcentral describes it as "bacterial SSU rRNA". It matches the Rfam family "Bacterial small subunit ribosomal RNA", at positions 493 to 1075 of the family's 1533-position model. The record is from RNAcentral. Lineage: Bacteria; Pseudomonadati; Pseudomonadota; Betaproteobacteria.
CCGGCUAACUACGUGCCAGCAGCCGCGGUAAUACGUAGGGUGCAAGCGUUAAUCGGAAUUACUGGGCGUAAAGCGUGCGCAGGCGGUUUUGUAAGUCUGAUGUGAAAUCCCCGGGCUCAACCUGGGAACUGCAUUGGAGACUGCAAGGCUAGAGUGUGUCAGAGGGGGGUAGAAUUCCACGUGUAGCAGUGAAAUGCGUAGAGAUGUGGAGGAAUACCGAUGGCGAAGGCAGCCCCCUGGGAUAACACUGACGCUCAUGCACGAAAGCGUGGGGAGCAAACAGGAUUAGAUACCCUGGUAGUCCACGCCCUAAACGAUGUCUACUAGUUGUCGGGACUUAAUUGUCUUGGUAACGCAGCUAACGCGUGAAGUAGACCGCCUGGGGAGUACGGUCGCAAGAUUAAAACUCAAAGGAAUUGACGGGGACCCGCACAAGCGGUGGAUGAUGUGGAUUAAUUCGAUGCAACGCGAAAAACCUUACCUACCCUUGACAUGGCAGGAAUCCCGAAGAGAUUUGGGAGUGCUCGCAAGAGAACCUGCACACAGGUGCUGCAUGGCUGUCGUCAGCUCGUGUCGGAGAUGU